AACGAACGCUGGCGGCAGGCCUAACACAUGCAAGUCGAACGUGAAGCCACCUUCGGGUGGUGGAAAGUGGCAGACGGGUGAGUAACGCGUGGGAACGUGCCUUUCGGUUCGGGAUAACCCAGGGAAACUUGGGCUAAUACCGGAUACGCCCUUCGGGGGAAAGAUUCAUUGCCGAAAGAUCGGCCCGCGUCGGAUUAGCUAGUUGGUGGGGUAAAAGCCUACCAAGGCGACGAUCCGUAGCUGGUCUGAGAGGAUGAUCAGCCACACUGGGACUGAGACACGGCCCAGACUCCUACGGGUGGCUG
This 305-nucleotide ribosomal RNA is filed under the name uncultured bacterium. Its description in RNAcentral is "bacterial SSU rRNA". It matches the Rfam family "Bacterial small subunit ribosomal RNA", at positions 29 to 351 of the family's 1533-position model. The record is from RNAcentral.